GUCACGCUGUAAACGAUGUCGAUUUGGAGUUUGGGGGCAUGACCCUUGGGCUCCGGAGCUAACGCGUUAAAUCGACCGCCUGGGGAGUACGGCCGCAAGGUUAAAACUCAAAUGAAUUGACGGGGGCCCGCACAAGCGGUGGAGCAUGUGGUUUAAUUCGAUGCAACGCGAAGAACCUUACCUGGUCUUGACAUCCAUAGAAUCUUUCAGAGAUGAGAGAGUGCCUUCGGGAGCUAUGAGACAGGUGCUGCAUGGCUGUCGUCAGCUCGUGUUGUGAAAUGUUGGGUUAAGUCCCGCAACGAGCGCAACCCCUAUCCUUUGUUGCCAGCACGUAAUGGUGGGAACUCAAAGGAGACUGCCGUUGAUAAAGCGGAGGAAGGUGGGGACGACGUCAAGUCAUCAUGGCCCUUACGACCAGGGCUACACACGUGCUACAAUGGCGUAUACAAAGGGAUGCGAAGGUGUGAACUGGAGCGGACCUCACAAAGUACGUCUAAGUCCGGAUUGGAGUCUGCAACUCGACUCCAUGAAGUCGGAAUCGCUAGUAAUCGUGAAUCAGAAUGUCACGGUGAAUACGUUCCCGGGCCUUGUACACACCGCCCGUCACACCAUGGGAGUGGGUUGCACCAGAAGUAGAUAGCUUAACCUUCGGGAGGGCGUUUACCACGGUGUGGUUCAUGACUGGGGUGAAGUCGUAACAAGGUAACCA
This 709-nucleotide ribosomal RNA is filed under the name uncultured Enterobacteriaceae bacterium. Its description in RNAcentral is "bacterial SSU rRNA". It matches the Rfam family "Bacterial small subunit ribosomal RNA", at positions 794 to 1502 of the family's 1533-position model. Lineage: Bacteria; Pseudomonadati; Pseudomonadota; Gammaproteobacteria; Enterobacterales; Enterobacteriaceae. The record is from RNAcentral.